CCUACGGGAGGCAGCAGUGGGGAAUUUUGGACAAUGGGCGCAAGCCUGAUCCAGCAAUGCCGCGUGCAGGAUGAAGGCCUUCGGGUUGUAAACUGCUUUUGUACGGAACGAAACGGUCCUUUCUAAUACAAGGGGCUAAUGACGGUACCGUAAGAAUAAGCACCGGCUAACUACGUGCCAGCAGCCGCGGUAAUACGUAGGGUGCGAGCGUUAAUCGGAAUUACUGGGCGUAAAGCGUGCGCAGGCGGUUAUAUAAGACAGAUGUGAAAUCCCCGGGCUCAACCUGGGACCUGCAUUUGUGACUGUAUAGCUAGAGUACGGUAGAGGGGGAUGGAAUUCCGCGUGUAGCAGUGAAAUGCGUAGAUAUGCGGAGGAACACCGAUGGCGAAGGCAAUCCCCUGGACCUGUACUGACGCUCAUGCACGAAAGCGUGGGGAGCAAACAGGAUUAGAUACCCUGGUAGUCCACGCCCUAAACGAUGUCAACUGGUUGUUGGGUCUUCACUGACUCAGUAACGAAGCUAACGCGUGAAGUUGACCGCCUGGGGAGUACGGCCGCAAGGUUGAAACUCAAAUGAAUUGACGG
RNAcentral lists this ribosomal RNA (585 nucleotides) under uncultured bacterium. RNAcentral's name for it is "bacterial SSU rRNA". It matches the Rfam family "Bacterial small subunit ribosomal RNA", at positions 338 to 916 of the family's 1533-position model. The record is from RNAcentral.